This is a long non-coding RNA of Oryzias melastigma (Indian medaka), 1899 nucleotides long. RefSeq lists it as uncharacterized. The record is from RefSeq and is a predicted model, not a curated record. Lineage: Eukaryota; Metazoa; Chordata; Actinopteri; Beloniformes; Adrianichthyidae. The transcript has 2 exons.
AAAUACAAAAACUGAAAAAAAUCUCAUAACCUCAUUGGAUGAAUCGAGCCAAUCAGAGCUGGAGUUUUCUUCUUCGCAACUUUUUUUUCCUCUGUGAAAUGCCGCCACCUACUGUUUUGACGGGAAAACAACAACAAAAGCUGUUUGUUUUCUGGAUUCGUUAAAGCGUUGGACCUCUCCAGGGCGCACACACUCUUCAGCUCCCUCAUCCCGUCAUCUCCUAUCUCCUCCGUCUCACUGGACACUAACGGUGAGAAGGUCGGCCCACCCGCGGUCCAGAGCAACUUUGGCUUCGGGUGACCUCCUUUCAACAAAAUGGAGAAGACGCCGACACCCUCGCCGCUCCAACAGACUGAGAUAGAUGAAGGGAUGUGGGGAGGGACUGAGAAAAGAAUGGAAGUUGAUAAAACACUAAAAUGUGGCUGUUUAAAGAUUUUAUUGUUUUGUACCAUUGCCGCCAUAUUUCCAGUGCUUCUCCAUCGGCUCAGGUAAAGAGCAGUGGUCCACCCUGCAGAUAAUCCCUCCUCUUCUCUCCUUUGCCUCCUGAUGGAUUAGUCUCCUCUCCAAAGAGGCGGUUGCCCUAAAACGUCUGGAUUGAGUUUGUAUUGGGCCCCAAAGCUCCCCUCCUUCUAUCACCUCCUCUUCCCGGUCAUCCUCCUCUCCCCCUCUAAACCUUAACCAAGUGACUGAGAUGUUCGGAGGGUAAAAAUCUGUGAUUUCACAUCCCAGAGUUUGACUCGAGGAGAGGUCAGAGCUGACGAUUUCAGAAAUGCACGGCCUUUUGAUGAAGCCUGAAUGGAAAAAAAUAUGAAAUAUUUACUUUGCAACACAUGAUGUCAAACGUUUUUUUUUUGUUUUUAUUUUACCUCUCGAUUCACGAGUGAUUGGAUGCUUCAGAGCGAUGUGGUGGACUUUAACCCACACCUUGGUGGCUCCCUUUUCCAGCUCCCCCCGGGGAAGCUUGCAUUGGCUGUAGGCCGAGAAGAGCCCCUCAGAAUUUGGGCGAGGGGACGAGGAGGCCUCCGAGGCCACGGGGGUCAGCUCGCCCCCCUGGCAGAACCAGCGGAAGGUGAUGACAUCCGGGUGGAAAUGUGAGGCGGAAACCGUCAUGUUGAUGACAUCUGGGAGGGGCAAAGAUGGCGAGAUGUCAUUUCUACCAAGAAAACCAAAAAAUAAUCAUUUUUUGACAUACCUGAGUCAUUCUGUGUCUCUGUCAGCUGAAUUUCUGACACUUCCGGUGGAGCUGAAUCAAAAACAACAUUUUUCAAAACAGAAAAAAACAAACUUAAAUGGAAAAAAAUCUGUGUAUUAUUUGUUUUUCAACUUAAAAUCAGAAAUGAAAAAGCAAUAAAUGAACUGUUUUUUUGUUUUCCAAUUUAAAAUCCAAAACAAAAACUGUUUAUUCAUUAUUUUUACGAUUUGCGCUUCAAAUCGAAAGUAAAAAAACGGUUAGUUUCUCGUUUUUUCAUUUCCGAUUUUAAGUAUAAAAACGAAUGACUAAAGGAUACACGGAUUGAAAAAGCCAAACCGUUCUUACACAAAAUCGUGAACUUCUCCGACACUCUUUCCUGCACAAUCUUGUCCUUGCCUAUGUAGGACACUUGACAUUUAAACACUGCCCCCUUGUGGAGGGCAAUCUGAGGGAUGAAGGUGAGCGCCGAGAUCAGCUGUUGGGUGCCACUUUUGGAAGAAUGCAACGGUCCCUGAGUGUGCAGCUUGUAGUAACCCAUUUUGCCUCUGGAGGUCAGGAGAGGGCCUUUCUCCGAAGCUGUGGAGGUGAGAGUUAGACCAUAGGGCAGAUGGACGGUAGUUAGGGGGCUGUAGAGGCAGUUAAAGUUAGAUCUGGACGUUCCUGUGUGUGUAAUGUUGUUAGCAGGGUUAACAUAUGGAGGUGAAAAA